GUGAAGGUCCUAGCGCUCCAGUACUCGCGAGCCUGACUCAGUGUGUGGACAUCACUGUUCCAGCGGAGCACCGCGCCACGCCGCGCUGUUGCUAGAUUGUCCAUUAAACGGCAGUUGAUCAUCUAUAACACUUUGAAGCCAUCAUCAGUUCACAGAAUGUCACUGUCUGAACAGCCCUAUUGCAGUAAGGCUCUAUCCCACAAGCUGAGGUGACAGCUGACUGGCUGGGGUGGUUUCAUCUCUUCCACGACAAAUGUGCGCUGCGGAUGAACCCAAAACAUGUGCCUCAAUAGACUGCACCACAAAGUGUUCAGGAAGCCCAAGGAGGGAAAAUGGUGACAUCGUUGCGAGAGAGGCCAGUGAGUUGUUCCGGGAGUGUUCAGUGGAUGUGCGCGGUUGGCAAGACUGUUGUUUAUUUUGCCCUUGUAAAUAUCUUCGUUAGUGACCCUACACUCGCGAACAGACCACCGAAAUUUCUCAUAGACGGACAAACAGAAAUAGUGUUGAGACUGAAGGAAGGUGCAGAUACCCCUGCAGGAAGCCUGAUAUACAGACUACGAGGUGUUGACCCCGAUGGGGACACAUUGACAUUUGGAGUCAGGGAACAAAUCGGACAUGAUGUUUUGAGGAUUGAAACUAUUGGUGUCAACGAAGCAAAUGUCUAUCUGAAAAAAGAAUUGGACAGAGAGGUGCGUGACGAGUAUGCUCUGGUGUUGACACUGACCGAUGGACACCUGGGAGAUGGAAACUUCAUCACCCAAAGUCUACUGCUAUUGGUGGAAGAUGUCAACGACAACGAGCCCAUCUUCAAGCCCUACCAGAGCUCACUGGUGGUCUUGGAGGACAGUGGGCCUGGAAUUCUUACCACCGUUGAGGCCACUGAUUCAGAUGAAGGACCCUAUGGCCAGGUUGUCUACAGUCUACAGGAGUUGGAUGGAGAGACCGAUUUGUUCUCUGUCUCAACUAUCAAUGGGAAAGGAGUGAUUCGUUUAGUUGGUCGUUUAGAUUACGAGAAGAAGUUUCUCUACCAACUGAGAGUACUUGCUACAGACAGAUCCAACAACGAAAGGAUAAACACUGCAACUGCCGCAAUCCUGGUGAAAGUACAAGAUGUGGAGGAUCAGCCACCAGAAUUUGUUGUGGUUUCUCCAGUCACUCGAGUCAGUGAAGAUGCUCCAGUUGGAACUUCUGUCCUUCAAGUGAGAGCAGUUGACGGAGAUAGGGGUGUCAAUAACCGGAUACUCUACUCAGUUACUAAAGGCGGUGAGGGAGUUUUUGACAUCGAUGCACACUCAGGCUUUCUCUAUACUACAACGAAGCUGGACAGAGAAUCCACAACAAAUAGCAAUGGCGCUUAUAUUAUUGAAAUCAUGGCUCAAGAGGAGUCAAGAGCUGUGUAUCCCGCACCUUCAGUGCGGACUGAAGUUACCAUUAUAUUAAUGGAUGUUAACGACGAGACUCCGACUUUUAGAAGUAAAAUGUAUGCUUGUGAAGUGAAUGAAAAUGCUCCUGCCAAUACACCAUUAACGUUUCUGGGACAUGUUGUCCCACAAGUCUAUGAUUUCGAUCAGGGUAACAAUGGAACUUUUGAUAUGCUGAUAGAAGAUGAUGAAGGAAUUUUUGAAGUAACUCCUCGUCAAGGUAUCAACGAAGCUUCGUUUUUAAUCAGAGUCAAGGAUUCAUCAAGGAUCGACUUCGAGAAAAUGUCUGUGAUAAACUUCACCCUAGUUGCCAAGGAAACUGUUGAAGAAAGCCCCAAGUCAAGCAGAGUGCCUGUUACUGUGUUUAUUCGAGACAUGAAUGAUAAUUUUCCAGAAUUCACAAAACCAAUCUACGAGGUGUGGCUGCCAGAGAACUCCAGAGUGGGUACAGUGGUGGUCAAAGUGCAGGCUCAUGAUCCUGACUCUGGUGAUUUGGGUACCAAAGGGAUAAGAUAUACCAACCUUGGAGGAAGUGUAGCAGACUUAUUGUCCCUGGACCCCAUCAGUGGGGUGAUAACCAUAAAGGAAGAGAGUCCUGCGUUUGACCGGGAACUGGUGUCUAGACACUAUCUCACCAUCGAGGCCAGAGACAAUAGAGGCCAAGGAAACAGGAAUUCUGUACAACUCAUCCUAAACAUUGAAGAUGUGAAUGACAACACACCACAGUUUGUCCACAACAAGUACGAAGCCCGGCUACUCGAGAACCAGUCAGACUUUGAUUCUCCUCUGAUUGUGGAAGCGAGGGACUUAGAUCUCAAUGGAACUAUGAACAGCCAGGUGCAUUACAGUAUAGUAGAGUGGGAUGCCUCGAUCACCAAUUUCACAGUAGACCCGACACUGGGAUUGGUCCGACCCUCGUCACAUAUCGACUUUGAGACGUUGGCUAGGAUCCAGGGUGGGCCACCAGAUGUCGGGGUUAGGACUCUUCGCCUUAUCCUCAGGGCUCAUGACCUUGGCUCACCCUCCCUAUAUGCAGAGGUCCCACUCCUGGUGUACGUUCAGGACAUCAAUGACAACCAGCCCUACUUCGAGCACGAGGUCUAUGAGCAGACUAUUCCAGAGGACCUGAGAGGUGGCAGCACUGUCUUGCAGGUGAAAGCCACAGAUGAAGAUGCUUCUGCCCCAAACAACCAAGUGGUCUACAGGAUACAGUCAGGAGCUGGGGACAAGUUUGUGAUAGAUCCAACAUCUGGGAUACUGAGUGUGGCGAACGGAGCGAGUCUGGACCCUGACGGCACAGAGCCCCGGACCACUCAUUAUAGCAUGGUGGUAGUCGCCUUGGAUGGAGGUAUAGGCGGGAACCAAAUGACGGCAACUACACAGGUGCAGAUAGACAUACAAGAUGUCAACAACAAACUUCCAGUUUUGGUUGAUCCAGGGACUGUCAGAGUGCUGGAAAACACCAAGGUUGGACAGUUUGUACACAGAGUGGUGGCUACUGAUCCUGAUGAAAAAUCAUCGCUAAGGUUCUCAAUAGACCGGGACAACUGUGAGGCCAGAAGUGAAGAAGGGACUAUCAUAAAACCAUCUGAGUUUGACUUUCUCUCUGCCUUCGAACUGAAUGCUGUCGACGGACUGUUGCGAGUGGUGAGACUCCUGGAUCGAGAGAGAGUCGAAGUGAUUCGGUUAGCCAUCAGGGUGGAAGACACGGCAUCCGUCAGCGGGAAACAGAUCACUUCAGGUGUAUUGACCAUUAUUGUUGAGGAUGAAAAUGACAACAACCCAAUGUUCAGGAAGCCCUUUUAUCGAAGAUUCAUCACUGAAAACAGCCAGUUAGGAGUGUUGAUUGUCAAUGUGGUAGCAGAUGACGCAGACAAGAACCGGACUAUUACUUACUCAUUGGAAGGUUCUGCAAAGAUGACAGAACUUGUUCAUCUGGACCAGCAAACAGGGGAGAUGGUAGUUGCGAACAGAAUCGAUCACGAGCAGACUCCAUGGCUCAACAUGACUGUGAGAGCUACUGACUCAGGAAUUCCUCCUCGCUCGGCAUUGGUGGAUGUGUUUGUACAAGUUAUAGAUGAGAACGACAACAAUCCCUACUUUGUUGGAAACAUCACAAAUGUCACGCUGAGGGAAGACACGCCUAUUGGUGCUGAGGUGACAGUCAUUGAAGCCAGUGAUGCUGAUUCCGGUGAUUAUGGCAAAAUCACAUUUCUCCUUGAUCGGAUAUCAUCUUUGGGUAAAUUCCAAAUCAACCCUGAGACUGGGAUGCUGAACGUGUCCGAUAGGCUGGACCGAGAGCAGCAGUCAUCUUAUAUGCUGAUAGUGGAGGCCUGGGAUAACUAUCAGUUUGGAUACUCCAGUGGGGAGAGUAGAAAUGCCUUCAAACAAAUAGGAGUGACCAUACUGGAUGUCAACGAUGAACCUCCUGUGAUGAACCCUCUGCCGGAGUCUUGUGUCAUGGUAACAGAGUUUCUGGAACCAGGGGAGACUGUCUACACUCUCAAGGCAUCUGAUGCCGAUGACCCCAACACUCCCAAUGGCUGGGUCUCAUUCUCCAUUCUUGCAGGGAACGAUCAAGAAUUGUUUGAAAUAGAACCACUGGAUCAUUGGACAGCCAGGCUAUAUGCUCAAAGUUCACUGAAAGCAAAAUAUGGGAAUUACACUUUGGCUAUAAAUGUUCAAGAUUUAGGUGCACCUCCCAACUUUGUUGUUGGCAACCUAAACAUUUGUGUGACAGACUUCAAUGACAACGCUCCUCAGUUCAUCAGUCCUCCCCAGAACAUUACAAUCCGCAUUCCAGAGAAUGCAACAGUUGGAAGUCCUGUGAUAACUGUGACUGCCAUUGACGCUGAUGUGGGUCCUAAUGCUGCUGUCCGUUACCGCCUCAAGCAAGACAAUACUGGAGACUGGAGCACUUUCAGUGUUGAUCAGGACUCUGGCCUCGUCUCUCUCAGGUUACCUCUGGACAGGGAGACCCAGAAACUCUAUCAGAUUCGUGUGGAAGCCUAUGACCAUGGGACCCCUACUCCCUUGUCAUCAGAUCUUGAUCUGACAAUUUAUGUGAAAAAUGUGAACGAUUACCAGCCUCAGUUUUUGAUCGAAGACUUCCCAGUGAACUUUACAGAACAUAUUGCUCCUGGCAAAGAAAGGCGACUCCUGCCGGAAACUGUGGACAGAGAUGAAGUUGAUGAUCUAGAUGACCCAAGAACUCCGGUCUGUUACUUCAUUGUUGCUGGGAAUGAUGAGGGCUUCUUCAACAUUGAGCCGCUUUCCCAUGAAAUCACUGUGGCUCAAGAACUUGACAGGGAAGAAGCUGAGAUGCAUUUGAUCAUGGUGAAAGCCAGUGAAGAUUGUGUCACUCCCCCACAGACCAACAAUAGCUACUUGGAUUACAAAGACAGUACAGUGCUCAGGGUGGUCAUUUUUGUCAAUGACAUCAACGAUAACGCCCCUCAGUUCGUCAAGGAGGUGUUCACUGGAGGAGUAACCACUGAUGCGGAUUUUGGCAGUGAAUUUAUGCAAGUUCGAGCAAUAGAUGCAGAUUUCGGCCGAAAUGCAGAAAUACAAUACUAUAUGAUUGGCCAAACUCAGAUGACCUUGAGCGAAGGGAUGGAAAAUAUUCAGCAGCCACCUUUCUUAGUGGAUGUCAACUCUGGAAUUGUGUCUCUCAACUUUGAUCCUCAAAAGGGAAUGAAAGGAUACUUUGACUUUAAGGUGGUCGCCAAUGAUACCGGUGGACUUUCUGAUAUGGCUAGAGUUUUCAUCUACUUAUUGCGAGAAGACCAAAGAGUGAGAUUUGUGCUACGACAACAUCCAGUAGAGCUGAGAGAAAAGAUUGAUGUUUUCAGAGAAGUACUGGGUAAUGUGACUGGAGCCAUAGUUAAUGUAGACGAGGUGAAAGUGCAUGAGACCAUGGAUGGCCGAGUGGACAAGACCCGAUCUGACCUCUACCUGCAUUUUGUAGACCGGUCAGACCACUCCAUCAUGGAUGUCAGCCGGGUGUUACGGGUGGUUGACCAGAGCAUAGAACAUCUGGAUUCACUGUUCAAGGAGUUUAACGUUCUGGACACCCAGGCAGCUGAAGCGGUGGCAUUGGUCCAUGCCCGCACUCCUGACAGUGUUGUAUGGCUCUGGUUGGUUGGCACCACUGUGUUCCUGGGUCUCAUGUUGGUAGUGGUCAUCUCAAUCUGCUUGUCACAGCGAGCCUCAUACAAGCGACAACUCAAAGCAGCUACAAUUACUGCAUUUGCAGGAUCAGCAGACUCGGACAUGACACGAGUAACUGGAUCAGGACCAGGACGUUUGCCCAACACCAAUCUUCACAGCACUGAAGGCUCAAACCCUAUCUGGAUGCAGGCCUACGAGAACGAGUGGUACAAGGAGGACGACUCCAUGAGUUUCCUGUUUCAGUCAAACGUCUGAGAGAGACUCGCUAGAUGAAAACGCAGUUGUUAGUGUCCAGACUCAAGAUGGAGGAGCCAAUUCUUCCUGUAACAGUCAAACCAACAUAAUAAAACCAGAACGCCGAACUGUCAAGGAACAAAACGAUCUGAAUAGCAAAAGCGGUGUGUACCAUCAGAACCUCUAUCAGCACCUGGACAAGCUCAGCAACCCUCUCAUAGCAAAAA
RNAcentral lists this unclassified non-coding RNA (6052 nucleotides) under Homalodisca vitripennis (glassy-winged sharpshooter). RNAcentral's name for it is "cadherin-23, transcript variant X1". Lineage: Eukaryota; Metazoa; Arthropoda; Insecta; Hemiptera; Cicadellidae. The record is from RNAcentral.